Long non-coding RNA from Clupea harengus (Atlantic herring), 290 nucleotides. The record is from Ensembl. Lineage: Eukaryota; Metazoa; Chordata; Actinopteri; Clupeiformes; Clupeidae.
AGUGAAAGAAGGAAAGAAGAGUGGAAGAAGGAAAGAAGAAAAUAAAGAAGAGUGGAAGAAGGAAAGAAGAAAGGAAAGAAGAGUGGAAGAAGGAAAGAAGAAAGGAAAGAAGAUGAAAGAAAGGAAAGAAGAGUGGAAGAAGGAAAGAAGAGUGGAAGAAGAAAAGAAAGAAGAGUGAAGAAAGGAAAGAAGAGUAGAAGAAGGAGAGAAGAAAAGAAAGAAGAGUGAAAGAAGGAAAGAAGAGUGGAAGAAAGAAAGAAGAAAGGAAAGAAGAGUGAAGAAAGGAAAGA